AGCGGCUCCACUACCGCCACGCGACCUCGUCUUCCUGGCCGGAAGGAGCGCCGCUCUACCUCACUUAAACUAUAGAGUGGCCCCCUAAGGGCAGGCUAUCCAAGCCCCGGGAGGACGUCGACUCUAUGGUCGCUGCCUCCACGCCUUUCUUCCUUUACCCCUUGUCACUCUCUCACCGCCCUCUCCUCGCAACGGUUUAAUUCCAUCUUCAAUCCCCCCAGCUACCGGGUGAAAGGAAACCUUAAUCAGAGCGCUUUUCUUAUUUCCGAGGGGGAGGGAGGUUCAGGCCUGUCGAAGGUCAAGGAACUACAUUUCCCACAAUGCAGUGCAAAACGGGGGCACUUCCGGCGCCCGCCGAGCGCUCCGUCCCCGUCGACGCCAACCUGUCAAUCAAAAGGCAUUGGUGGGCGCCCAGCCUGAACGCUGUACUGAGCGCCCGGGGAAGUAGAACUAAUAAUGUUGAAAACCGUCCCAUUGACGCGAGUAAGGAUUUCUUCCGGCUGAGCUUCAACUGGUUAGUACGGUGCUCCGCACACAGUAAGCGCUUAAUAAAUACCACUGAAUGAAUAACCAGGACCCCAGAGGAGGGGCUUUCCCCUUCCCGAGCCCAAAGGCACCCUUAAUCAGGAGAGCCAAUUGUUUAUUUUGGAUGCGGGGGCGAGGAGUAAAAGGGGACUAGGGAGGAAUCAAUCAGUGGGAUUUAUUGGGCUCUUACUUUGUGCGAGGCACCGUACUGAGCGCUUGGUAGAGUCAAAUACAAGAGAAUUAGCAGACACUGUCCCUGCCCAGAAUGAUCUUACAAAGAAGGAAAGGCCGCAGAGGAAGAUAAAAGAGUUGUCACUUUGCCUAGUGCUUCUUCCCUCCUCGUUUUCUUCCCGGUCCCUUUCCCUUAAUAAUAAUAAUGUUGGUAUUUGUUAAGCGCUUACUAUGUGCAGAGCACUGUUCAAAGCACUGGGGGAAUCAGGUUGUGCCACAUGAGGCUCACAGUCUUAACCCCCAUUUUACAGAUGAAGUAACUGAGGCACAGAGAAGUUAAGUGACUUGCCCACAGUCACAAAGCUGACAAGUGGCAGAGUAGGAUUCGAACCCAUGACCUAAGACUCCCAAGCCCAGG
This 1114-nucleotide long non-coding RNA is filed under the name Ornithorhynchus anatinus (platypus). Its description in RNAcentral is "lncRNA (ENSOANG00000037514.1)". The record is from RNAcentral. Lineage: Eukaryota; Metazoa; Chordata; Mammalia; Monotremata; Ornithorhynchidae.